Molecule: ribosomal RNA, 497 nt
Filed under: uncultured bacterium
Lineage: Bacteria
Description: partial 16S ribosomal RNA
Rfam family: Bacterial small subunit ribosomal RNA
Source: RNAcentral
GAUGAACGCUGGCGGCGUGCCUAAUACAUGCAAGUCGAGCGAACGGACGAGAAGCUUGCUUCUCUGAUGUUAGCGGCGGACGGGUGAGUAACACGUGGAUAACCUACCUAUAAGACUGGGAUAACUUCGGGAAACCGGAGCUAAUACCGGAUAAUAUUUUGAACCGCAUGGUUCAAAAGUGAAAGACGGUCUUGCUGUCACUUAUAGAUGGAUCCGCGCUGCAUUAGCUAGUUGGUAAGGUAACGGCUUACCAAGGCAACGAUGCAUAGCCGACCUGAGAGGGUGAUCGGCCACACUGGAACUGAGGCACGGUCCAGACUCCUACGGGAGGCAGCAGUAGGGAAUCUUCGGCAAUGGGCGAAAGCCUGACGGAGCAACGCCGCGUGAGUGAUGAAGGUCUUCGGAUCGUAAAACUCUGUUAUUAGGGAAGAACAUAUGUGUAAGUAACUGUGCACAUCUUGACGGUACCUAAUCAGAAAGCCACGGCUAACUACGUG